Molecule: transfer RNA, 101 nt
Filed under: Paraburkholderia fynbosensis
Lineage: Bacteria; Pseudomonadati; Pseudomonadota; Betaproteobacteria; Burkholderiales; Burkholderiaceae
Description: tRNA-Asn
Source: RNAcentral
GCGCUCGGUGGCGCAGUGGGCGGCAGCACGGGCGCGGUUAUUGGCGGUGCGGUGGGCGGUGGCGCCGGCGGUGCAGUGACGUCGAAUCGCCGCGAGCGCAC